Molecule: long non-coding RNA, 6388 nt
Filed under: Gallus gallus (chicken)
Lineage: Eukaryota; Metazoa; Chordata; Aves; Galliformes; Phasianidae
Source: RNAcentral
CUCCAUUCCUCCUCCAGAAAAUUCAGUCAUUCCCUGAGAGUCUCGGUUUAUCUGAGCUAGUAACAUUGUCUGCCUCGCCGAGAAAUUUUCCAACAAUUCCUCCGUCCGACCACCAUGCACCAGGACAGGAAACGGCCGCCUCAGCGCCCGCCCGCCUCAGCGCCGCCCCGAGCCGCGCGGGCGGGCUCUGCGCCCCGAGCUCCCGCCGCUCCCAUUGGGCGCGCGGCGCCGCGCGGCACCGCCUCCGCUCGCCAUUGGGCGCCUCCAGGCCCCGCGCCGAUGCCCAUUGGCUAGACGCCCGCGGCCCCGCCCCGCGGCUUCAUGGCGGCUCGGCUAUGCUGGGUUCGGGGCCGCCGCGGCCGCCAUUUUGUACCGCGGGGAGCGAGGCGCUCGCGCGUCAGUAGGGGAGCGGGCGCCAUUUCCUGCUCCGGGCAGCGCGCCCGGCGGCGGCGGAGCCCGUCGCGGGUCCCUCGGCCGGGGGCGGAACGGAGCGCGGCGGGCAGGGGGCGGCCGCGGACGGGGUGCCGGGAGCAGGGCCGCCGGCAACGGCCGAGAGGGAACGCGGGCUGCGGCCGGGCCUCGCGGCGACGGGCUCCCACCGCGGGCACGGGCUCCGGGCGGACCCGAGCGCACGGGGCUGGGGGCGGGCAGGGCCGCGCGGCGGGGCCGUGUGUGCCGCGGCGUCUGUGCCGGCCGCCUCCGGGUGCGCUGUGCUCCGCCGCCGCUUCAGCCCGGCUCCUGCGGAGGAAGGCGUUCUAUAAAGCAGCCCUGAAGGAUGCUCGUCCCGGGGUGACUUUAGGAGCGUGGUAAUCCGGCAGCAGCUCCAGAGGCAGCUAAAGCGCGUGGCAGAAAAGCCGUAGGUCGCUGCUGUGCGCUGUGGGCGCGGGCCGGGCGGCGUUGCGGCACCUCGGGGCACCGCCGCUCCGUGCGGCAGCCUGAGAGCGACCGAACGUCCUCGGCUGGGAUCAGAGACUCCGCGUGAGGAAGGAAUAGAAGACACGUUAAGAAAAGCAGGCCAAAAUGGGCCGUGAAGCUUAACGGUGCUUCUCCAGGAGCCGAUAAUUGCAAAAAGGAGGAAAUUUCCUUUAGGAAGAUGCAGCUUAACCCGUGCAAUUUACUACCGGCUCUCAAUCAGUCGGCACAGCUGAAAGCACCUGGGUGUGUGCGCAGUGCUUUGUAAUUACUCCACUGCACAGCCGAGUCUUGUAAAUCCAAGGCUGACACAUCUGACCAUAGCUUCGAUGUCCUGCACCAAAACCUCCGUUCUUUUAAAAUAAUGGUUUAGGAAAAAAUAUGCUAUCAAGCUUACACAACAGGUAAAAAGUACGUCAGAAGCGUUUGAGAGGGGAAACCAAACCUCAGAGCUAAGCAGCAGAACUAACUGCUGUCAGACUGCAGCUGUGUUCCAAACACCGCACCAAAAUGAGCACAGAUGGAGGAUUUGCUCCAGAUGUUUAUCUUCCAUUAUAGAAAAAAAAACAGAGGCUUUAGAUUUCCCAACUCUUCCUGUAGAAUUGCAUUACCCCUGAAAAAUGGAAUGGAUAAGUGCAAGUUGUAGGAGAAUCUGCAUCACCAAAACUGAAAUGGUGCACCACGAAAUGCACCAUCACCACCACCAACGUACAACUGUUCUGCAGUUUAUCUAAGUACAUUUCUUGGAGCAAAGUUGGAGGAUCCAUUCUUAUGAAAGCUGUUCCUUUCUAUUCAGUUAACACAUAAAAGCACCCCUGAAGUAAGGCCAUCCUCACAUCAAGAUAAACUUCCUCCCUUGAUGUAGAAAAAUAGAACUUUCAGAAAUAACAAUGGCGCUAAAUGGGUAAUUUUCCCUCUUUUUCCAUCUGCUUUGUACGUGCAGCCUUCUUGCUGCCGUGUUGCAUUUCCUACCACGAGGCAAAAGUAUCAGCUGGCCUAAAAAUGUUCUCAGACUUUUCCGGAGGGCAGGAAGCAUAACGAGAUAAGCAGAUACCCAACAAGCAGAUGUUCAGAAAUGAUUCAAGUCCAACUGGGCGUUUUUUCAAGGUCAAGGAAGGCACAGGAAGACCCAUUCUGUGAUUAUACAUCACCUUUUCCUACAAGAUAGAACUGUUAAUAGAUGAGGCCAGAGGACACCUGUGGGUGCUCAGGAGUUAUGCAUUUUCUAGUACACAGUACUUGGCCAGUCAGCUUAGGGCUCACUAAGUACUACUGUGGCUCGCAUACCACUAGCCUAACAGCUUGGAUUCAACACUUAGGCUUUUUCCACCUCAGGUGCAAUAUCGAUCAAGUCUGCAAUUUGCUUCAAGUACCCCUUUGGUAUUAUUACAAUAGGGGAAAAGCAACAGCACAGUGCUGCCUCAGCCUCUCACACACCAGCACUCUGCGCAGGGAAAUGUUUUUCACCUAAGAAAGGCUGUCCACAGAGGAGGGAGUGGAUCAGCCCCAUGCACGUGGCUCGCAGCACAGCACGAGCGGUCCUGUAACAAGCAGAAGGCAGAGAACCAUGCCAGGAGAACAGUGCCAGUCAGCUCAGCAAGGGGACCCCACACCGCCAAUUCCAGCUACGCUGCUGAUGCAAAAAAACACACCACACAAACCAAUUUUCUGAAGACUGCAUUUUGAGUAUCAUAAUAUAUAUAUGUGCAUUUCAUUUUUACAGAUAUAAACUCAGUUUAUUUUUAACCUGUAUUUAAAUUUUGGAGGCUUACAUUAAAUUAAGGUAGCUCGUUUAAUAUCAAUUGUAACAGCAGGUGACAUUUUUUAUAUAAAAACAGCCAAAAGAAAAAAAAAACAUUUGAUUUAAAAGACCUGACACCAAUGAUCUCAAGGCAAGAUCAAAAACCUAUGGAUUUAUGCUUUAAGAAAAGAAAGAGGGGGCAUUUGAGCCAACCCGUUCACAGCAUCUCCCUGCUGGCUUCUUCAUACAGUGGUUUCGAUAGUGGUCCCAGAGGGAACUGUAUUUUGCCUCUCUAGCUAAAAUACUAGUUACUAUAGCAACUUUGAAAGAAGAAAAUUGUGGCUUCAAAAAAAUGGAAGAUUGGCAAAACUUCAAAUACACUGUCUGGAUCAGGCAGACAAUCGUACACUAACACUGGGAGUGCACUUGCACUACCACGUUUGGGGGGCAGGGGGGAAAAAAAAGGUUCUGCAAAAUUAAUGGGAAAAAUUGCAUUCAUAGAUCAAAGCCCAGGUUAGCCAAAUUAUUAUUUUUUUUAAUAGAUUGCAUAUAUAGAUGUUUCAUCCACACACUUCAAUCAACUCAUUUAAGAGCAGAACUUCACAUCUAAUUUACAUGCUUCAGAAAAGAUCACUUUCUCAGUGCUUACAAUGAACAUUUGUAUCCAAAUUGUAACUCGUACAGUGAGAUCUUUAAGAAAAACAAAGGACACAGAGGGUGUUGCUAUUUCUUUCUUUUUUAGCAGCAAUGAAAUAUCACUAACCCCUUUUUUACAGAACCGAAUUCAAGUCACAACCAGAGGUGACUGCACCACAAAGUCACCAGGUACAAAACUGCUAGUUCAUUUUAAAUUAAUAACUUGAAAUUAUUUUCCCCAAUACAUCCCUUCUUUUUUAUUUUUAUUUUUUUAUAAACAGCAAACAUUUUGCUAUUUUUGUACAUAGGCUAGCAGGCUUGUUUCAAUAUGAAAGUGCUAAUUCAUUUACAGAUUUAUCAGUUAUGUAGUGCUACAUUAAGUGUCCAAUAUUCUACAUAUGAACAAUCUUGAUAAAUGGAAACGAUGAAGAUUAAGUAAGGCUAUUCGAUUACCUUAUUUACACUGAAAGAAUAGACACCCAAAUAAGGAAGGGAGAAAAGGGAAGUUGGGCAAAUACUCAUACCGCCACAGGUGUAAAAAUUAAGUCUGCCUCCUAACUUGUACUGUAAAUGAGAUUUUCGAUAGUCCUGCAGCCCAUGCCUAUGUUUUUUUUUCCUCAGAAAAAGAAAAGCUGCCUUCAUGACAUCCCUCUUGAUUUCCGAUUUCCAAAGUGUGUCAUUUGAAGCUUUAAAUUCAGAUUCUUCCUAUCUUCAAAAAAACCCUCUGGUUUGCUUUCCAGUAUUAGAUUGCAUGAUCAGGUCCCACAUCUGGGGCUUUUGUCCAACCUAUUUAUCAAUUAGUUUAGAGUGAGCUGUAGAUAACAUGAACCAAUUCUGGAACCACUAUUGGGAGGAACACAAGCUCUUCACUACAAUCACACAGUAGCAGGAAAAGUGAUAAUUCAAUUCAUUCCUGGGGCAGGGCCUCCAAAAUUAAACGAAGUUGGCACGACUGGAGCAUUGAAUUUGUAUCCUCCAUGCUUUUCAAUCAUUUUGGAUUCAUGUGCUGCCCGCCUCUGAUCUGCCAGAGUUGCUAUGUCCUGCAAUUGUUUCCUUUGUUCUUCAUUAAGGCCCUGUGUCAAAGUUUGGUACCACACAGGGUUACGAUUCUGAAUUGUCUGAAAAAUGGUUUUAAAUAUCUGAUAUUCAUCAACAGGGUUGUCUUCAUCAUCAAUAAUUGUAGAAUAGCCUUCCAAAGCAGUCUCUUCAGCAUCAUCUUCUUCCCAGUCUUCGUCAUCUCCAUCUUCACCUGCCUGUUUUGCUAGAAUUUCUAGAUAUUCUUGGCCAUCCUCAUCAAUGUCAUCUUCAUCACUCCCCAAUUCCUCUGUUUCCUCAUCUUCUUCAGCUUCAUCAUCAUCAUCACUGUCAUUUUCAUGCUCCGCAUGGCAGGCAUAAGCUCUUUUUAAUCCAUUAAAUAAAAGGAUAAAAGCUGGCAGGAUCUGGCCAGCAACUUGAUUUAAAACCUGUGGUAUUUGCUCCAGAUCAAUGAGAGCACACAAGCCAAGCACGCACAUUUUCCUGUCGUGAAGUCCCAAGAAGCAGUCCACAUCAUUAAGCCACUGUGUUAUGAAGUGAUUAGUGACAGGCUCCACAUUAUUGGGAAAACGAAGAUUUUCCAAUGUAUUUAAUAAUAGAUGAGGAUUGUAAUACAAAGCAGCUAUGGCAACCUGGAGGCACAUUGUUCGUAGUUCACUUGUUUUCACUUCUCUGGUCAAUCUCUCUAAAGCAGCUUCCACAAAUAAGGGUAUGCACUGAUCAAUUCCACGCCCUUUACAUUGAAGAAUAAUUACUUCUAAUAGUUUUGCUGCAUGACACUCUGCAUCUUCUCCAGCAACUCCUGUCAGAACCUUCUUGCACAUACUGUAGAUCAUUUCAAGGUAUUUUGUGUCUGACAGAAGUGUAUCCGUAUCAACAGUAACAUAAUUAUGUAAGAGAGGCAUCAUAUCAGUAAAAUAAUCAAAGCCAUCCUGCUGAAAGACUUCAAAAACAAGAGGAAGAAGCUGCCACAUUUGUGCAGAAACUUGUUGACAGGUCAAACUAUGAGCCAAGGAAAAUAUCUCCUCGUAGAAUUCUAAUACGUGCUGCUGCAGAACUGUUCCAAUCACUUGCAAGCAGAUCCCUUCCAGCUGCUGAGUAAUUUCCUUGUGAUCUUCAACUACACUGAGAAGUGUAUCGAUAGUAUUCAAAAUUCCCAUUGCUGUCACUGCUUUGUCGUCACUGCCCUCUUCAUCAGGUCCAGUCUGGAUCACCUGGUUAAACGUCAUUGCCAAGUGCUGUGUCAUUUCUACUGCAAUUGGGGUAACCUCUUCACUAUAUUCACAGAUCAUCUUCUGAAUCACAUUAGUAAGAUCAUCAUUUUCAGUCUCCCUUAUAAUAUGAAGUAAAGCUUGCAUUACAGGCCUAAUGAAUGGGGUGAUAUAUUCUUUAGCUUUCUCUUGAUUACUGAUCAGAACUUGUAGUGCUAUUGCAGCUUCUACUUUCACAGGCAUUUCCCUAUCAUCUAUCAGACACCGUCUUGUGAGUUCCAGAGCUGUUUGGAGAUUCUGGUCACUCUUAAAUUUGACUUCACAAAAAUAAUGAAGAACCCAACAAGCCUGAAAAGAAUGACAUUGAGUAACGUUAGUGCUAUGAAAUGAAAAACAGGACUACUGACUAUCCACAUUCCCAGAACCCAUGCAAAUUCUUAAAUGUCAAAUAGAACUAAUGUAGAGUAACAAUACCAUAGAACAUAGGAUGAAGAUGUUUGAGAGUAUGGAGGCUGGCCAGUGGGAGGCAUGUCAUUCAGACGUCACUAGACCAGUACUAUGAUCUCAAGUUCAUCUUUGGCCACAGGUUUUGUGUGAGUAGUACAGUCUAAAUGUAGAACACAAAUAGACUAUACCACCAGACACAGAUGAACAACUAUGCACACAGUACUGCAGCCAUUUCAUAGCUACACAGUAGCUGUCCAUAAUCAUAUACAAAGACUAAUCACUGAUACAAGAGUUCUUUUAUUGCAGGUACAGAAAGAAAUGCACUCGUUAAAGGAAAAAGUAACUUAAUAUUCCUUAACUCUUGAGCUAGGAAAAUGUAAAUCUUAACAUUAAAUCUUAGGUUCUC